Molecule: ribosomal RNA, 253 nt
Filed under: uncultured bacterium
Lineage: Bacteria
Description: partial 16S ribosomal RNA
Rfam family: Bacterial small subunit ribosomal RNA
Source: RNAcentral
UACGGAGGAUGCAAGCGUUAUCCGGAAUGAUUGGGCGUAAAGCGUCCGCAGGUGGCUGUGUAAGUCUGCUGUUAAAGAGUCUAGCUCAACUAGAUAAGAGCAGUGGAAACUACAUAGCUAGAGUACGUUCGGGGCAGAGGGAAUUCCUGGUGUAGCGGUGAAAUGCGUAGAGAUCAGGAAGAACACCGGUGGCGAAAGCGCUCUGCUAGGCCGCAACUGACACUGAGGGACGAAAGCUAGGGGAGCGAACAGG